UGGGGAAUAUUGGACAAUGGGCGCAAGCCUGAUCCAGCAAUUCCGCGUGGGUGAAGAAGGUCUUCGGAUUGUAAAGCCCUUUCGACGGGGACGAUGAUGACGGUACCCGUAGAAGAAGCCCCGGCUAACUUCGUGCCAGCAGCCGCGGUAAUACGAAGGGGGCUAGCGUUGCUCGGAAUUACUGGGCGUAAAGGGCGCGUAGGCGGCGAUGUUAGUCAGGCGUGAAAGCCCUGGGCUCAACCUGGGGACUGCGCUUGAUACGGCAUGGCUAGAGGAUGGAAGAGGGUCGCGGAAUUCCCAGUGUAGAGGUGAAAUUCGUAGAUAUUGGGAAGAACACCGGUGGCGAAGGCGGCGACCUGGUCCAUUACUGACGCUGAGGCGCGACAGCGUGGGGAGCAAACA
Molecule: ribosomal RNA, 402 nt
Filed under: uncultured Roseomonas sp.
Lineage: Bacteria; Pseudomonadati; Pseudomonadota; Alphaproteobacteria; Acetobacterales; Roseomonadaceae
Description: bacterial SSU rRNA
Rfam family: Bacterial small subunit ribosomal RNA
Source: RNAcentral